RNAcentral lists this ribosomal RNA (253 nucleotides) under uncultured bacterium. Its description in RNAcentral is "partial 16S ribosomal RNA". It matches the Rfam family "Bacterial small subunit ribosomal RNA", at positions 524 to 776 of the family's 1533-position model. The record is from RNAcentral.
UACGUAGGGGGCAAGCGUUGUCCGGAUUCAUUGGGCGUAAAGAGCGUGUAGGCGGCCAGGUAGGUCGGUUGUGAAAACUGGAGGCUCAACCUUCAGAGGUCGACCGAAACCAUCUGGCUAGAGUCCGGAAGAGGAGAGUGGAAUUCCUGGUGUAGCGGUGAAAUGCGCAGAUAUCAGAAAGAACACCCGUGGCGAAGGCGGCUCUCUGGGACGGUACUGACGCUGAGACGCGAAAGCGUGGGGAGCGAACAGG